GCCAUUUGAAGCUCACAUCUGUGUUAGCAGCGUAUCUCCACCCUCUUGGAGUAGAGGAUACAACAAUCAAACAAAACCAACACUGGCAAACUCGCAAUAACUUUAUUCAUAAACAAGAGGGAAAACUGCAGAUGCUGGAAAUCCAAAGCAACACACGCAAAAUAUGCUGGAGGAACUCAGCAGACCAGGCAGCAUCUAUGGGAAAAAAAAAAUUACAGUCGACGUUUCGGGCCGAGACUGGAGGAAAACAAGGGGACGAGUAGAUUUGAGAGGUGGGGAGAGAGAAACUGUAUUCCACGUUCACGAUAUCGUAGGAACCAGCAGAGGAGCGGCGAUCUUCACCGACCCCUUGGUCCAGAGCCACGCGUGUGCGCGGAUCUCCGCGCUCGGAUGCUGGGCGCGCGCACUGCGGCACGUCCGGCCAGGCAUGCGCACGAGCUGGUGUUGGAGGAAGCGGGGACGCGAAGCGAAGGGGAGCCGGCUGUGUCGGGAUCAAAACAAACUCGGUAUACUCUGACAGCAUUAAACCCCGCUGAGACCUGAUGCAGGAUAUGGUUUUCACUUCCAAAAGAAAUUUAUAAUCCACAAGAACUUGCCAGAUGUUGUAGCCUGAUGCUUGAACUUCUUUACAGAUUUGCAGGCUGAUUUAUGGUACUUGCUGACCACAACCUCAGUGAAUCGUGGUUGCUUCAGGAUUGGCAUGAUUUUUGUCUUGAUGUCAAUCAGAUGACAAAUACUUCCAUACAAAACGCAACACGUGGACACUAUGAAAAUAUUGCAGGACUCAUUUUGGAGAAAAACUUUCAGAACCACCACCUAUCAAGCACAAGUAUAAAAGGAAUUUUGUGUUCAACAGAUGAGCGAGAAGAAAGGGUGUCAUGCCCAAUCAAACAGCCGGCACAAUCCCCGACAGUAGUCGUAAUGUAUCAGUCCUUGGUUUUAUGCUGAUCCCUGUCACUCUUUUGGUUGCAAUUGGCAUUGCAAUUGUAGUGGUAAGGUAUAUUCGAAAGCGACACAGGUUAGAAAACCUACGCAACAAAUUGGUACCGAUUUAUUCAUACGACCCUAGUGAGGAUCAUAAUAAUGUGGAAGAAGAAGUAGAUACUAAUGGAGAAAUAAAAGAUAAUUGUGAACUUCCAGCUGAGAAGGCAACAGGACAGAAUGAGAACUGUGCCUCCAUUUCUGAUACGGGUAUUGGUGAGCAAGAAACAGGUGUACCAAAGGAGAAACAAGUUUUGCAGAUUGAAAGUGGACAGUGAUAGAGGCUCCCUCGUGGUAAAACUGAACAGCUGAACCAAUAUUUUUUACAAUUAUUUUUGAACUAAUUAUCUGAUUGUAGCAUUAUGUUUCUGUUGCAAAGCUGGAUCUUUCAACAUUCUGUUUGUGAACUGACUAGAAAUGAAAUGAAGGAAAUAAGAUAAAUUGUGUUAGUAUUUUUGUGUGAUUUAUCUUUAAAUAUGUGUGCAUUCUUGUUACUUUGGGAAGCAUUUUGGUAACUUGGUUGAAAACUCUUUAAGAUCAAGUGGAGCGUCUGUGAAUUUAUUAUGAAGCCUUUUGUGGACAGUUACCUUGAAUGAAUAUUCACAUAUCCGAAAAUGGUAAAUAAACCUUUGGUGUCCUGGUUAAGGACUGAUGCAUUACUACACAAACAAGAAGGCAUAUCAAAAUAUACAUAGCUUUAAAAUUGAAAAAUAGCAGUACAAACAGAAACUGAAUUGUUUUGAGGUCGGCCCACAAUGCAAAACCAUGCUUUGAAUAUUUGUUGAUUCUGUAUUCCUUUACUCCCUUGAUUGAGACACUCCACUGCAAAUGUUAAAAUAACUUGACUGAAAGUUGCAUUCUGUUAUCUCCCCGAUGUGAUCCAGAACAACAUUCAUGUCACUCCACUUACCAUCAGGAGGAUUUGACCAUGUAUUUGUAAUUUCACUAAAUGUGCCUUAAUGGAGAAAAGAGACUUUGUAUCUCACAAGGCCCUCUACAUCGUAUGGCAACAGAAAAUCUUCUGAAGGUCACAUAAGAAUUAUAAACAUAGAAAUGAUGCAUCUAAUUGGAUCAUAUUAAAGUGUUUCCAUGAGCAUUUAGGAAAUGCAUAAAAAGUGAGGUGGCAGUGUGAGUGGAUUCAGUCAUGGUUGGUAGCUACUAUUGCUUAACUCAGUAAUUGCUGAGCUAAUGGGUUGGAUUACUUAUUACUACAUUGAAUGUAAUUGAAUGCAAUAAAUGUAUUUCAUAUAAGUUGCUACUUGUGGUUUUAUGCUAAUAAUAGCAAUAACUGAAUGGAAAUGGUUAUUUUGCGGCCUUUGCUGUGUGAACUUCAGGAAGAAACCAUUAGUUCUAUGACCUACCCCUCUUACUGGUUAUAAACAUGAGAAGUUCUGCAGAUGCUGGAAAUCCAGAGCAACACACACAAAAUGCUGGAGAAACUCAGCAGGUCAGGCAGCAUCUACAGAAAUGAAUAAACAGGUGAUGUUUUGGACCGAGAUCCUUCUACAGGACUGAAAAGGAAAGGUUGUUUUGAUCAUAACUUAGGUUGGAGGCAGUGCAUUCCAGUUAGACUCCCUUAGACUCAAAGAAGAAUAAGUCGGCCAAAACUUCUCCAUUCAAAGCAGUGAUCCCUUCUGGGGAAAAAAAAACAUGUUUAUAGUUAUGCAGGAAAUAAGAUUUUUACAUGUACAUAACAUUUCAAUUGUAAAAUUCCAACAUUAGUUGUACAGCUCCUUUCAAGAGAUGAUGGAGAGGAUGUCAGAACAAUCCAUUAAAUUUUAUUUAUUUAUUGAGAUACAGCGUGGAAUUGGAAAUUCCAGCCCUUCGAGCUGUGCUGCCCAGCAAUCCCCCAAUUUAAUCCCAGCCUAAUCACGGAACAAUUUACAAUAACCAACUAACCUACAACUGGUCCAUCUUUGAACUGUGGGAGGAAACCGGAGCACCUGGGGGAAACCCAUGUGGUCACAGGGAGAACAUAUAAACUCCUUACAGGCGGUGGUAGGAAUUGAACCUGGGUUGCUUGUACUGUAAAGCAUUGUGCUAACCAUACUGUAAUUAAAGAAAUUCAGCUUGAUAUCUGUACACACAUGAUGUAUGGGACAAGAUAUGUAAUGUGAACUUUAAGGUUUUGAGGUUUAUCUGUUGUAGCAGAAAACAUGAGCACUCAAAUAUCUGACCCUGGAGGGAGAUAAUUUCCUUUAAAUAUGAAGAGCAGAAACUAAAGGGUUGUCGGGUGUGUGAUUAAGAAAGUGAUUGUUGUCAGGUUAUGCAAUUGAGAGCACAUUGUUUCAAAAAAUCUAUCUUUCUUAGCACUCCUAUUACCACUUGGCUGUUGCUAAGUUCCAUCGGAGUACUCAUAUCAAGGUAUGAAUGCUCAAUCUAAUAAUUUUGAAGGUAGGAGUAUGCACAAAGACCUUGUAGGAUAUGGCCAGGUCAUCAGCUCUGUAAUUUGCUUCUAUCAUCUUUGUGCCAAUGGGGUGGCAUAGUAGUGUAGGGUUAGCACAAUGCUUUACAGUAUUGGUGACCCGGGUUCGAUUCCUGCUGCUGCCCAUGAGGAAUUUGUAAGUUCUCCCCAUGUUCUGACCACAUGCGCUUUCUCCAGGUGCUACAGUUUCCUCCCAGAGUGCAAAGGCAUACUGACUGGUAGAUUAAUUGGUUAUUGUAAAUUGUUCUACAGUUAGGCUAGGGUUAAAUUGUAGGUUGCUUGACGGUGCAGCUCAAAGGACCUGAAGGGUCUAUUCCACGAUGUACCUCAAUAAAAUAGUGAACUAUGCAAGACUACGGUUUUUGCAGAAGAAAGGCACAAAAUUCAGGCCAACAGGGAGAAUUUCAGCCUUGCUUUAUUAUCUAGGUGAGUUUCUUUCAACAUUGCUUCAUGCAACACAAAAACAUAUUCUUAUAUUCGAUUUUCCUUCAGGCUAUCUCUUAGAUGCAUCUAUGUCAUUCAUUUAAAACAAUCCAGGUACUGUUCUGAGCUUCAUUUUUACCUUUCCCUCAACUUUUAAAGUGAUUUCUCCUGAAUUAUUUAUUCAUGUUUGCCUUUUAUUUACAAUCUACUGUUUGACCUAUUUCAUUAGUGGGAAUGUUACAAUGUCCUACCAAAAGCCCACAUAGUUUAAAGCAUCCCUGUCAGGUCAUCUCUCUGGUUGUUCUAGAGAAAUUAUGCCCAUAUUUUCAUCCAAAAAUUGUAGCCUCUUGGUUAGCGUGUAUUCAAAUAAAAUUCAUUGGUAUGUCAUGAAUAUUAGUUUUUUAAAAGAAAAUGUUUAUGGCAUUCUCCCUCUUUAAAAGCUGGAUUGCAAUUAACUACUGUCAAUACACGGCAUGAAGUGACUGCAGGCCAGUGUUAUCAGUGCACUGGUAAAAAGAGAGCAUUGUUCAAAAAGCAGAGCCUCAGAGUAAAACAGUUUAAAAACAAGUGUGAUUUUAAAGCGUGUGAUUAAAGUAAUGACCUUGCAAAACCCAGUCAAACAAAUAAUCCCCAAGUUACUCUUUCAUAUUGUUUAUACAGAAUUUAAUUUGUUAAUAUUUUAUUUGAAAUCAGUGCACAAUUCAGUUUUAAAGGGGUAUUACCAGAACUGUAUUGUAAUUUCUUUUCUUGCAUGACUUAUAAUGAGAUCAAGACCAAGGGAGCAAAAAUAAUUGAACCAGGUCAGAAUAAGAAUCAGCUUUAAUAUCACUGGCAUAUGUUGUGAAGCUUGUUAUAUUUGUAAGAGCAGUACAUUGAAAUACAUAAUAAAAUAAAUAUUUACAAUAAGAAAUGUAUUUAUAAAAUUAAUUUCAAAAAGUACUGCAAAAAGACGGCGGAAAAAAUAAUUGAGGUAGUGUUCAUGGGUUCAUUGUGCAUUCAGAAAUCUGAUGGCAGAGGGGAAUUUGCAGUCAAUUCGGAUUGGCAACAACAUUUCCUCCACAAUCUCCAUCAGCAAAGAUACACCACAAGGCUGUGUGCUUAGCCUCCCACUCUAGUCGUUUUACCCUUUACUAUCUGGCAUAGCCGCAUGGUGGUGUGCCGCAGGGCACAGUUCUGGGUCUAUUGUUGUUUGUCAUCAAUAUCAACGAUCAGGAUGAUACUGCAGUAAACUUGAUCAGCAAAUUUGCAAGUGACACCAAGACUGGAAGCGUUGCAGACGGUGAGGAAUGGUAUCAAAGCUUGCAGUGAGAUCUGGACCAGCUGCAAAAACAGGCUGAAAAAUGGCAGAUGGAUUUCAAAGUAGCUAAGUGUGAGACGUUAUACUGAGGGAAGACAAACCUAGCUACAACUUACACAGGGAAUCGUAGAACACUGAGGAGUGUGGUAGAACAGAAGGAUCCGGGAUUACAGAUCCAUACUUCCUUGAAAGUAGCAUCACAGGUAGAUAGAGUCAUUGAGAGGGCUUUUGGCAUGUUGGCCAUAAAUCAAAGUAUCGAGUGCAGGAUUUGGGAUGUUAUGUUAAAGUUGCAUAAGGUAUUGUUGAUGCCUAAUUUGGAGUAUUGAGUGCAGGUCACCUGCCUACUAGAAAGAUGUCAGUAAGUUUGAAAGAGUACAGAGAAGAUUUACGAGGAUGUUGCCAGGACUUGAGGACCUGAGUUAAAGGGAAAGGUUGAAUAGGUUUGGACCUUAUUCCCUAAAGUGUAGGAGAAUAAUGAGAAAUUUGACUGAGGUAUACAGAAUUAUGAGGGGUAUAGAUAGAGUAAAUGCAAGUAGGCUUUUUCCGUUGUGAUUUAGUGGACUAGAUCUAGAGGUCAUGGAUUAAGGGUGAAAGGUGAAAUGUUAAAUGUUUAAGGGGAAUAUGAGAGGGAACUUAUUCACACAGAGGGUGGUGAGUAAGUGGAAUGAGCUUCCAGCAGAAGGGAUAGACUCGGGUUUGAUAUCAACAUCUAAGAGAAGUUUGGAUAGGUACAUGGAUUGGAGCGUAAUGGCAGCUUCGGUGCAAGUUGACUGGACUAGGCAGAUUAUUGGUUUGGCAUAGAAUAGAUGGGAUGAGGGGCCUUUUACUGUAUUGUGGUGUUCUACGACUCUAUCACUUUAUCACUCCAUCAUGCCCUCAUUGGCAGCAGAACGCAAUUUGACUGUGACAAAUUAACAUGGUCAGUGUGGAGAAUGCAAUUUAUAACAGAAAUCUGGAAACAAAUGUUUGCCAAAAUAGAUCAUCAAGAAUUAGCAACCUGGAAAAAAAUGUAAGGUAAUUUUAUUAUUUUAUAAAUUCUGCAGAAUUGCACAGGUGUUCAUGCAAAAUUUCUUUAUAUCAUCAUUAUUAUAUAAUGAACCCAAGGCUUAGCAAGCAUUGAUUGUGUAAUUAUGUUAUGCUACUCUGAAAUUUCCAGUAAGAAGAUGUUGAUCUUCAAUACCAUUUUCAAGUCUGUGGAGAUAUUUGACAGUUUUUCCAUCGGUUAGAAGAAAGCCUUUAAAUGUUACUUUUAAAGCAAUACAUUACAGGAAAAGGGUUAUGAUAAAGUCAUACAGAUGUGUAUUAGUUUAUUAGUGCUUGUUCAUAAUUGGUGCAUCCCCAGAGACACUCGCAGAUUUCUGCAGAUGUACCCUAAAGAGCAUUCUAAUUGUUUGCAUCUCCAUCCUGUAAGGAGGAGCCACUGCACAGGAUCAGAUAAAGCCGCUGAACAUUGUAAACUCAGCCAGCUCCAUCAUGGGCACUAGCCUCUCCAGGAUUGAGGGCACCUUCAAAAGGCGAUACCUCAGAAAGGCAGCAUGGACAUGCCCUCUUCUCAUUGCUACAAUCAAAGAGGAGGUGCAGGAACGUGAAGGCACACACUUGACGAUUCAGGAACAGCUUCUUCCCCUCUGUCAUCAGAUAUAUGAAAGGACAAUGAACCAAAAAUCACUACCUCACACUUCUUCCCACUCUUUUUGCAUUACUUUUUAAGAUUCAUUUGAAAAAUAUAAUUCUUAUUUUAAUUUACAGUAUUUUUCGUUGUUAUCAGAAUCAUGGCAUAUAUCAUGAAAUUAAUUGUCUUUGUGGCAGCAGUCCAAUGCAAUACAUAAUAAAAUUGUGAAUUACAGUAAAUAUAUAUAUUAAUUAAUUAGAUUAAAUAAAUACUGGAACAUAGAACGUAAUAAGUAGUGAGGUAGCGUACAUAGGAACUUGAAAUUGCUCAGUCUUUCUACUUUUGAUCCCUUCAUGAGGACUGGUGUGUAUUCCCUCAUCCCACCCUUCCUGACGUCCACAAUCAUUUCUUUGGUAUUACUGUCAAGGUUGUUGCUGUGACCCCAAUCAACUAGCUGAUUUAUUUUGCUCCCAUAUGCUUUCUCAUCACGGCCUGAAAUAUGUUAUAAAACAACAAAUUUCACCGUAUAUGCCAAUGAUAUUAAACGUAAACACGAGGAAAUCUGCAGAUGCUGGAAAUUCAAGCAACACACUCACAAUGCUGGUGGAA
RNA transcript from Hypanus sabinus (Atlantic stingray), 7347 nucleotides. It is a transcript of the gene named small integral membrane protein 29-like, with no coding region annotated. The transcript is spliced from 7 exons. Lineage: Eukaryota; Metazoa; Chordata; Chondrichthyes; Myliobatiformes; Dasyatidae. The record is from RefSeq and is a predicted model, not a curated record.